Molecule: long non-coding RNA, 627 nt
Filed under: Callithrix jacchus (white-tufted-ear marmoset)
Lineage: Eukaryota; Metazoa; Chordata; Mammalia; Primates; Cebidae
Description: lncRNA (ENSCJAG00000069264.2)
Source: RNAcentral
GCUAUACAGUGGAUCACAGUGGGAGGUGGUGAGACAGUGGCUAUACAGUGGGUCACAGUGGGAGGUGAUGAGACAGUGGCUAUACUGUGGAUCACAGUGGGAGUGAGUGAAAAUUCUUUCUGAUCUUUUGACGUGUUGGUGGGAAAGAAUCAAGCCACCAGCUCAGGGGCUGCAUACUCACGGAAGCCUCUGGCAGGAGUCUGCAGUCGGGGUACUGACUGGCAGCAUUCAUCACAGUUCACCGCCGUGCUCUGGAGCUGGCUGGUCUUUGAAGGACACAGCUGUUGAGUCUCCCAAGUAAAGAUCCCGGAAGGACUGGAGAAUCAUUACGUUGGACACCUUCCUUGGAGCUGCAAGAACUUAAGUUCUUCUUCAAGCAGUGGGGUCUGCAUCUGAAAACUGGAUCCACCCGAAAAACACGAAGGGUCUUAACUUCUUUUUGAGGUGCCUGCCCCCUGCCUCCUGACCACCCCUCCUGUAUUUCUUCUUAUUGGGCAGUAUGGGAAGUGACCCUAGGUGCAUGUGAGCAGAGACACUGUAUUCUAUGAACAAUCUUCAUAACCCCCUGUGUAUCAAUGCUCUCUGGCUGCUGUUCCAGCUUUCUCAGCUAUUAUGACAAUUCACUCC